RNAcentral lists this ribosomal RNA (468 nucleotides) under uncultured bacterium. RNAcentral describes it as "partial 16S ribosomal RNA". It matches the Rfam family "Bacterial small subunit ribosomal RNA", at positions 28 to 507 of the family's 1533-position model. The record is from RNAcentral.
GACGAACGCUGGCGGCGUGCUUAACACAUGCAAGUCGAACGGAAAGGCCCUGCCUUUGUGGGGUGCUCGAGUGGCGAACGGGUGAGUAACACGUGAGUAACCUGCCCUUGACUUUGGGAUAACUUCAGGAAACUGGGGCUAAUACCGGAUAGGAGCUCCUGCUGCAUGGUGGGGGUUGGAAAGUUUCGGCGGUUGGGGAUGGACUCGCGGCUUAUCAGCUUGUUGGUGGGGUAGUGGCUUACCAAGGCUUUGACGGGUAGCCGGCCUGGGAGGGUGACCGGCCACAUUGGGACUGAGAUACGGCCCAGACUCCUACGGGAGGCAGCAGUGGGGAAUAUUGCACAAUGGGCGGAAGCCUGAUGCAGCAACGCCGCGUGCGGGAUGACGGCCUUCGGGUUGUAAACCGCUUUCACCUGUGACGAAGCGAGAGUGACGGUAAUGGGAGAAGAAGCACCGGCUAACUACGUG